RNAcentral lists this ribosomal RNA (681 nucleotides) under Triticum aestivum (bread wheat). RNAcentral's name for it is "partial small subunit ribosomal RNA". The record is from RNAcentral. Lineage: Eukaryota; Viridiplantae; Streptophyta; Magnoliopsida; Poales; Poaceae.
GAUAGCUGGCAUGAACUACUUGCAACAGUUAAAACUUUCACACCUGGUGUUAGUGCUAACUUGCCCAGAUGGAGGUUAGAAUCCUCUGGAAUAUAUAUUGUUAAGUCCUUUUAUGAACUAAUUACUGUUGGGGGUUAUUCUGAAAUUCAAGAUGCUAUUUGGAAGAUUAAAGUUCCACCCAAUAUCCAUGUGUUCCUCUGGUUAGCCUACUACAACAAAUGCCUUGCUAGGGAUAACCUAGCCAAAAGAAGGCAUGUAGAAUAUCCCACAUGUGUGUUUUGUGGUGAAAAUGAAACUAUCAACCAUCUCUUUUUUGACUGUGUAGUGGCUAUUCAGAUCUGGUCUGUGAUUGCUGAGGGGAUUUCUAUUCCUAUACCUGAUUCAUUCUUGUCUCUGAUUCAUUUUUGGAAACAAAAGAAAAAAAAUGAAGAUGUUAACCUUGUUACUUCUGCUACCUUGUGGGGCUUAUGGCUUCUGCACAAUGAACUUGUCUUUCGGGGGCGAAGAUGGCGAAGUACUCACUGCAUCAUGGGCCUGGUUGGGGGUUUAAUAAGGCAGUGGAAGAUCCUAUGUUCGGACAUCCAGGGUGUGCUACUUCUCCAGUGCUUAACACUUUUGGAUCGUCGAAGAGAGGAAUUGCUUAGAAUUGCCUGGUGUGAGAACUGGAAAACCAAAGACUGA